AUACCUUUCUUGGCUUUUUAGCUAAGAUAAAGUGUAAUAUUUGUUCUUAUCAGUUCAAUAUAUGAUAUGUAUACCAGAUGUUCACUUUGAUAUUAAAUUUAUUUUUAUGGGUAUCAAAUAUUAUUGUAUGUUGUCGUAGCGAACGGGCGUUGUACUAGUACCCUAAAAAGAUCUCAU
This 177-nucleotide small nuclear RNA is filed under the name Zea mays. RNAcentral describes it as "U2 spliceosomal RNA". It matches the Rfam family "U2 spliceosomal RNA". From Rfam's summary of the family: U2 is a small nuclear RNA (snRNA) component of the spliceosome (involved in pre-mRNA splicing). Complementary binding between U2 snRNA (in an area lying towards the 5' end but 3' to hairpin I) and the branchpoint sequence (BPS) of the intron results the bulging out of an unpaired adenosine, on the BPS, which initiates a nucleophilic attack at the intronic 5' splice site, thus starting the first of two transesterification reactions that mediate splicing. The record is from Rfam by way of RNAcentral. Lineage: Eukaryota; Viridiplantae; Streptophyta; Magnoliopsida; Poales; Poaceae.